Molecule: long non-coding RNA, 1180 nt
Filed under: Carica papaya (papaya)
Lineage: Eukaryota; Viridiplantae; Streptophyta; Magnoliopsida; Brassicales; Caricaceae
Description: long non-coding RNA (CPAP_LNC009184)
Source: RNAcentral
UCCUGCUGGGUGAAGUUGUAAGUCCUGCCCUAGAUAAAAGGUCUUCCCUGACUCUGGUUCCUUGGGCACUCUCUUGUAUAGUGUUGGGCACUACCACAUAUGCGACAGGUGUUGUUGAGGCAGUAGUAUGGUCGGUCCCCGUGAUCCCUGCCGCAAUGCUAAUAGAUCUUACCAUGUCCUGCCACUGGAGCCUAAGGGGGAGCCUGGAUCACCGGUCUGGGUCUCUUGUUCUGUUGGACAAGCGCAGUAGGUGCUGGUCUGCGGGGUGGAGCUGAGGGUCUAUGGUUCCCUGCUGACUGAGGGAGGGGGUGGAGGCUCCUCUCUACUAACUGUGUCUUGGCCAGAACAGCCGAGUAUGUCCUGAGCUCCAGUACAAAUAAAUGCUGUUUGAUCUUUGGGCGGAGGCCCCACUGGAACCUCCUAGCCUUCCUGCCCUCAUCCAUCAACGUCUCAGAGGAGUAUCAGCCCAACUCUAGGAACUUACGAGCAUAUUCUGACACCAUCAUGUUCUCCUAGACCAACUUGAUAAACUCCAUCUUUUUCAGAUGUCGAAUGUGCUCUGGGAGAUAUUCUGCAUGAAAGGCUGCUAAGAACUGUUCCCAAGUAACUAGAACAGACAGGGUGGUCUGCUUGAGUUCCCAUCAGCGGUCUGCUUCUCCCACCAGCAUGUAGGUAGCAAGGGUAACCCUCUGCUCGGGAGUCACUCCUAGGGUCUUGAAGGCCUUCUCCGUCUCUGCCAACCAGUACUGGGCAUCUUCAAAAGAGGAUUCUCCUGUAAAAGUAGAUGGGUUCAGUCUCAUGUACCUCUCUACGUAGCUUGGGUCAAUCAUGGAAGGAGUUGGGUCCCGCAGAAGAAGGACUGAGCCAGGCUGAGGAUAGACUGGGGGGACCCUGUGGUGGUACUUGCUGAUAUGGUGGGGGUACUAGAUUAUAUUGUGGCGGUGCCGGGCAGUACUAUGGCUGGGACACCGGAUUAUACUGCGGCGGUGGCACCAGGUGGUACUGUGGAGGAGUAGACUCGUACCAGGGUGGUUCAGGAUCCUCUCGCUGUAGUGGUGGCUCAACCUGUGGCAGCGGGGGAGGGUCAGGUAGCUCCCUUCUCUCAUCUCGGCCCUGUUGAGUAGCAAUGAGUCUCUCCAGCAUCUCAAAUAUCUUGUCAACGUCUUUUCGAAGCGAACCA